UACAGAGGGUGCAAGCGUUGUUCGGAAUUAUUGGGCGUAAAGGGCGCGUAGGCGGCGUGUCAAGUCAGGCGUGAAAGCCCCGGGCUCAACCUGGGAACCGCGCUUGAGACUGGCAUGCUCGAGUUCGGGAGAGGAUGGUGGAAUUCCCAGUGUAGAGGUGAAAUUCGUAGAUAUUGGGAAGAACACCGAUGGCGAAGGCAGCCAUCUGGACCGACACUGACGCUGAGGCGCGAAAGCGUGGGGAGCAAACAGG
RNAcentral lists this ribosomal RNA (253 nucleotides) under uncultured bacterium. RNAcentral describes it as "partial 16S ribosomal RNA". It matches the Rfam family "Bacterial small subunit ribosomal RNA", at positions 524 to 776 of the family's 1533-position model. The record is from RNAcentral.